AGCUCAGAGAGUGCAAGCACAAAGGCAACCCCAGACUGCAGCAUUUGACAGCUCAGGGAGCAGAGGCUGUGGCUGAGCCUAUGCCAGAAGCUGGUGGGGGAGGUUCUAAUUGCAUUCCUGCAGCUUGUUUACGUCGAGCUUCGCUGCUUGCUCCUUUGAGCUGCCUUGAUUCUGAAGAAAGCACAGAAACCUCUCCAGGAGAAAGACAACUCAUGCAAAGAAUGACUCAGCUCUACAUCCCAUCCUGCAGAGAGGAACAAUGCCUCUGCCAACGUGCCCAGAGCCUCUGAAAAUCUCUAACAAGGCUGCUGGAAAGCAAGGAGAGGGUUGGAUGAGUUAAGAGAAACAACAGCCAGGCUCUCUGAUCAAAGAAUCAAAUCAGAGAUGAGAAAGGAAGAGAGAAUUGGCUGACAGGCAAGCAGGCACCCUGUGGGACGUGGAGGACACAAUUUCAUCUCUCUUUCCUCUGGUUGCCCCUCCAUAAAAUGCCUGUUGGCCACCUGCUCUGCUCAGUCUGGGGUCAGAGGCAAGCUCCCCAUCAGAUGCCUGCACACCUUCAAGCCAGGUGCAGCCUGUAUUGCUGUGAAUGGAAAUAAAGAAGAGAUCCUUCAGUGCCAGCAGAGUUAAAUCAA
Long non-coding RNA from Pogoniulus pusillus (Red-fronted tinkerbird), 632 nucleotides. RefSeq lists it as uncharacterized. The record is from RefSeq and is a predicted model, not a curated record. The transcript has 2 exons. NCBI's taxonomy places the organism in Eukaryota, Metazoa, Chordata, Aves, Piciformes, Lybiidae.